UUCAUAAUACCUGUCUAACUGGAAAUUUGA
This 30-nucleotide non-coding RNA is filed under the name Rattus norvegicus (Norway rat). The record is from RNAcentral. Lineage: Eukaryota; Metazoa; Chordata; Mammalia; Rodentia; Muridae.